AAAAAAGAGUAAUACCCAUUUCAAUGAGAUUCGAGCUUAUUACAUGCUAUUUAACACUAAUCCUGUAGGUGGCGCAGAGCCAGCAGUGAUAGGAAAGCCUCUGGUUCUGGCAAGGGUCAAAAGGCAAAGCAAUUAAAGAAAACCCCAGAGCAUGUAACACGCUAAUCUGUGUCCGGGUUUUCUAUCACUCUGUCAGGUGGAUUUCUCAGUCAGACUGAUGUGGAGGUGAUCAGGUGAUCCACAAGUAGAGAGAAUGAGAUGCAUUAAUAUUAGAAAAGCAAAACAAAAAUGCAGCUGCUUCCCACAUCCAUCUCCACUACUACUACUACUACACACACACACACACACACAUUACCUAUUGUUCCCUAAAGGAUUGUUCCUGUCUGUUAGAAAGCACCCUGGUUGAAAUAUAAAUGUUUUUUUUUCUGAUUCAGUAGUGAGGAAAGGCCAUGCAUACGGGAGCAUCUCUGUUUCAAUGAAACCUGUUGUACAUCAGCAUGACCCCUAAUCCUCAUGAGAACGGCAGGGGUCGCGCCCUCUUCUGUGGUUAGAGACACAUUAGAUGACCUUGGGCACACAACCUGCAUAAAUGUUGGAGUGGGUGCGUGCGUGUGUACAUUAGACAACCUCCUACAAAACCUCCAUAAAUGUUGAAAGAGAUUUUACCUGUCAGCAUUGGGGAUAUUUGGAUUGCACAAGGUCCUGACUCACCUAUUCCCAAGGCCCCUAGAUGUCAGUGCUCCCUCUGUAGGGAUUUAAAAGCAGUAUCUGACAGCGGGCAGUGCACAAGUGGGCGCUCUGAAGGCCGAUCACCAAUUUGUACAUAGCCAUGAGGGGCAUGCAGGGGAGCGAGCCACAGAGACAGCACCUCAACACACAACCCCACUAAUGAGGCACAGAGUGCCAACCCCUCGUCUCCACAUACAUGGCUGUGCUCAGAUUGUGUCAGCUGCCACAUUAAGCAGCCUCUAUUUCACACACAUGCAAGUAUAUACCUAAAUGUUUCGUGCUAUACACAGGUAGUCUCUUGCAUAAGCAGUUGAGAGCCUCAGACAAUGGUGAAAUGUAUUUGUUCACAGAUCCUUCUACAUAGAAUGGUGCGACCUUCCACGAACACAGAAAUCUGCUUUGAUUUAGAUCUGUGUAAAUUUCAGUUUAUUGGCCUUUUGUAGUUGAAAUUGAAAAAAUAAAAUGUUGCUGGCAGGAUUACUGAGAUGUGUUAGAAUUGGUAAAAUUGGGAUUCAUUUUGCCCAUAUAUUCAGUGCACCACAAUGUGCCUCCAAAUACAGUAUGCCAAAUGAAUAUGUGGCAGUAUUGUUAGGUUUUUAAAUUAUUAUUAUUAUUAUUAUUAUUAUUAUUAUUAUUAUUAUUUUAGUUAUUUAUUUUUUUAGAUUAUGAAGUUUUUAUUUUUGCAGGUAUCUUCAUGCAUAUGAUGCAAUAAUGCAGAAAACAUGUGCAUGUACACUUCUUCUGUUUCCAUUAGUGCCAUUAUGAAGAACAGGCAAAAAGAUUUUUACUAAAAAAGGUUUAACUAACUAUAUAAUGAGUACAAAGGGAAUGCAUAAAAUGUAUCUGCUCUAAUGCUAUUUGUUGUGAAUAUUUUGUUGAUCAUUUCUCUAAAACAAUCUCUCUUUUACAGCUGCACUGGUCUGAAAAGUCCCCAGUGUGAAUCCUGAUACAAAUCUAACAUAUUAAAUGGACAUAAUAGAUUUGUGUUGUGCUCAAGAGCUACAGAACCUUAACAGUUCACUUAACGUGUGAGAGAGUUUUAUUGCAUUUCAACAAGUGAAGAACUCAUGUGCUCCUUCUUUAUCCAGUAGCUCCACCAUGUGGCCACUGAUUUUUUGAAUGGGGCAAAUAUUUCCUGGAUGUGGAUAUUCAUCUUUCACAUGAAUCACAUAUCUACUUAAAUAGAAGAGAAAUAUAGUUGGGUUUAGGCACAUAAGGGCCAGAUAUGGCAAUAACAAGUGCAUUUUGGGCAAAUGGUAAACAGACACAUUUAAAGGUUUUAUCAUUUAGGACUUCAUUUGAUUUGAUUUCAUUUGAUUCAUUUUAGUUUGCAAUUGCCAUUGAUUGUCACCUUCCCUUUCUUUGGUUACUGCUAUAGUUACCAUUAAUGAUCUGUAUUAAUGAUUAGCUGAGCAGUUUAAUUUAACAUUGCUGAAAGAGUCUUUGACUUUGGUUUCUAUCUUCGUUUUACACCUGUCUGUCUCUUAUUAGUUUUUUUAUAGUCAGUCACCGCUUUAUUCAGAUCAUGUGCACCAUGUAUAACAGUUAGUGACUGCGGUUGGAGCUGCAGGUUAUGUGUACUCCAAUGCUAGUCCAGGUACCCAUCACUCCCAUACUGCCCACAUGUUAGCUAUGAACUGUCCCAUUGCUCCCCUGACACACUGUGAAUUUCCCUCUGGGAUUGAUCGAUCAAUCAAUCAACCAGUAUCUAUCUAUCUAUCUAUCUAUCAAUCAUAACCACAAAGUACAAUGUACAGGUUUUAUUGAAUUAUUAACAAUACAAUGCAUUUAAAAUUUAUGAAGG
Molecule: long non-coding RNA, 2533 nt
Organism: Pangasianodon hypophthalmus (striped catfish)
Lineage: Eukaryota; Metazoa; Chordata; Actinopteri; Siluriformes; Pangasiidae
Exons: 4
Source: RefSeq, a predicted model, not a curated record